Molecule: ribosomal RNA, 574 nt
Filed under: uncultured bacterium
Lineage: Bacteria
Description: partial 16S ribosomal RNA
Rfam family: Bacterial small subunit ribosomal RNA
Source: RNAcentral
UGGGGAAUUUUGGACAAUGGGGGAAACCCUGAUCCAGCCAUCCCGCGUGUGCGAUGAAGGCCUUCGGGUUGUAAAGCACUUUUGGCAGGAAAGAAACGUCGCGGGUUAAUACCCCGCGAAACUGACGGUACCUGCAGAAUAAGCACCGGCUAACUACGUGCCAGCAGCCGCGGUAAUACGUAGGGUGCAAGCGUUAAUCGGAAUUACUGGGCGUAAAGCGUGCGCAGGCGGUUCGGAAAGAAAGAUGUGAAAUCCCAGAGCUUAACUUUGGAACUGCAUUUUUAACUACCGGGCUAGAGUGUGUCAGAGGGAGGUGGAAUUCCGCGUGUAGCAGUGAAAUGCGUAGAUAUGCGGAGGAACACCGAUGGCGAAGGCAGCCUCCUGGGAUAACACUGACGCUCAUGCACGAAAGCGUGGGGAGCAAACAGGAUUAGAUACCCUGGUAGUCCACGCCCUAAACGAUGUCAACUAGCUGUUGGGGGCCUUCGGGCCUUGGUAGCGCAGCUAACGCGUGAAGUUGACCGCCUGGGGAGUACGGUCGCAAGAUUAAAACUCAAAUGAAUUGACGGGGUCG